CCCUUAGAUGUUCUGGGCCGCACGCGCGCUACACUGAUCGGUGCAACAAGCAUCCGUCCUUGGCCGACAGGCCCGGGCAAUCUUUGAACGCCGGUCGUGAUGGGGAUAGACCUUUGCAAUUUUUGGUCUUCAACGAGGAAUUCCUAGUAAACGCAAGUCAUCAACUUGCAUUGAUUACGUCCCUGCCCUUUGUACACACCGCCCGUCGCACCUACCGAUUGAAUGGUCCGGUGAAACCUCCGGAUUGGCGCGUUCCCUCGGGCGCCGCCGAGAAGUUGGUUAAACCUUACCAUUUAGAGGAAGGUGAAGUCGUAACA
This 317-nucleotide ribosomal RNA is filed under the name uncultured eukaryote. RNAcentral's name for it is "partial 18S ribosomal RNA". It matches the Rfam family "Eukaryotic small subunit ribosomal RNA", at positions 1470 to 1796 of the family's 1831-position model. The record is from RNAcentral.